Molecule: ribosomal RNA, 450 nt
Filed under: Triticum aestivum (bread wheat)
Lineage: Eukaryota; Viridiplantae; Streptophyta; Magnoliopsida; Poales; Poaceae
Description: partial small subunit ribosomal RNA
Source: RNAcentral
AUGCUUCCUUAUGAGAUCUUUGCUGCUACUGUCCAUUGUGUUAUACCAUCAAUUAAGCUAGACUUGAAAAAUUAUUUGCUUGGACAUGAUCAUACAUACAUUGUUGGUGGCAUUGCUCUCAUUCCUGAUGAUGACACUUAUUUUCCUUAUGCUAGUCCUAUGCUUAAUGAAACAUAUUAUUCCCAUGCUAGUCUUGAGCUUAAUGAUAAAUUUCAUCCUCAUGUUAGUGUCGACCUUACUGAUUUGUACCAUCCUAAACAUGUGCUUUAUAGCUAUGCUUAUGUAAUUGGAUAUUCGAUUGAUGACUUGGAGGGUAUUAUCCCUACCACUUGCAUUGUCUCUUUCAUUGAGUGCUCUUUCAGGUUCUUGCUUGUGCACGAUCCACUACAUGCUGACCAAGUUCAAGAUGACAUUCCCUGGGACCCCGGUGGACCUAUGGCAUGGGGAUGA